This 253-nucleotide ribosomal RNA is filed under the name uncultured bacterium. RNAcentral describes it as "partial 16S ribosomal RNA". It matches the Rfam family "Bacterial small subunit ribosomal RNA", at positions 524 to 776 of the family's 1533-position model. The record is from RNAcentral.
UACGUAGGGACCGAGCGUUGUCCGGAAUCAUUGGGCGUAAAGAGCGUGUAGGCGGCUUGUUAAGUCUUGCGUGAAAUCUCGGGGCUCAACCCCGAGCGGUCGUGGGAAACUGGGCGGCUAGAGUGCGGGAGAGGAGAGUGGAAUUCCUGGUGUAGCGGUGGAAUGCGCAGAUAUCAGGAAGAACACCCGUGGCGAAGGCGGCUCUCUGGAACGCAACUGACGCUGAGGCGCGAAAGCGUGGGGAGCAAACAGG